This 890-nucleotide ribosomal RNA is filed under the name Orcula gularis. RNAcentral's name for it is "partial 16S ribosomal RNA". The record is from RNAcentral. Lineage: Eukaryota; Metazoa; Mollusca; Gastropoda; Stylommatophora; Orculidae.
UAAUCUUUAAUUAAUAUAAUUCACUCCCGAAAAAAGUAGAUCUACACUGUUUAAUUUUGUUAGAAAAGCCCUUUAUGAUAAUGUUGCAUCAUUAUGAGAAUAAAGCAGUGUAGGGGUGAAACGCUUUCAAUUUUUUUGAUAUCUGGAUUAAACUUAAAUGAAUUUAGUUCAUUAAAUAACCAUAAAGUUAUAAGAUUUUAUGGGGGCAGAAUUUCAAAUUUUUUUUUCCCACUAGACGAAAUAAAUUUUUCAAGUUUUUUAAACCAUUUAGAAUAAUAUUAUUUUUGUUUUAGCUUAUCUGUUUAUUUUAUGUUUUAUGUUUAAGUAGAUUUGCCCGCUUAAAUUAAUAAUGUUUAAAUUAGUAAUUUAUUUAAAGUAAACUGAAGGAACUCGGCAAAUAUUUUGUUUUCAACUAGUUUAUCAAAAACAUAGCUUUAAGUUAAAGCUGUUUAAAGUUUAAUCUGCCCAGUGAUAAAAAUUUAACGGCCGCAGUACAUUGACUGUGCUAAGGUAGCAUAAUAAAUUGACUUUUAAUUGGAGUCGGGUAUGAAAGGAUAAUCGGAAACUACCUGUCUCGUUUGUUUAUUUAGACUAACUUACUUAAAAGGUGAAAAUUCCUUUGCUUAUAUAUGUUAGACGAGAAGACCCUAAGAAUUAUAAUUAAAAAUUUAAUAGGAAUUUUUUAAAAAUUUUUGUUGGGGCAACAAAUUCGGAGGUUUAAACCGGCUGAUAAAUAUUAUUUAACAUAAAAUGAUUUUUUAAAAUGGCAUUAAUUACCUUAGGGAUAACAGCAUAAUUAUACUUUAAUAGAUUGUGACCUCGAUGUUGGACUAAGGACUUUAUUAAAUAGCCUUUAAUGGAGAUAGUUCUGUUCGAACUUAAAAACCUUA